GAUCGGAUGGUGUUGACUAUAGUAUAUACGGGUUGAACAACCUUGAUGAAUUUAUAACCGAAUCAAAGUUUGACGAGCUGGAAUCGCUUCUUUACGAGAAGUCGAGAACUGAGUAUUUCACCAUGCUGAGUCAACUGGAGGUGCUUUCUGGGAGUUAUUUUCUCUCACUUGAGAGCGAAGCAAGCGGGCAUCUGAAGUUCUGAACUGAAUCACAGUAUACAUUCCUGUCAUUCUGUUUCUGUUGGACUUGGAAAAAUUUGUCAUCUUCGCCGUUUUCAGAAUCCUGCUUCCGUGCUCCAAAAUGAUAAAUUUAGUUACGUACCUAUGAUUUUUUUUUGUAAUAGUGAAUGUUCAUUCCAAUUUCCAAUUCUGAAAUUUGAAUGUCUGCAGUGUGGCCGGUGUGUGUGUCAACUGUCAACUACUCAUGAUAUGUAAUUUUUUCUUUUGAAGAAAGCAAAGGUCUGACUGAGGUCAAUUGUCAAAAAAGGCUUCAUGGCCGAGGGGAAUUCGGCAACUUUCCAAGAUUUCGGUGAACAAUCGAGGGAAAAGGUGCUAUUUGGGGACGCCGGGCCGGAAGACUGCCGGACCCUGCUACUUACCUGCUGGAAACAGUGAUGGAAAAACUUUUACAUUUCAGUUCUAGUUCUAAGUUCUUAUUCAAGUAAAAUACAAAAAAAAAAAAAAAUUAAGAAAUGAAAAAAAUAGAAAAAAAACAGAAAAAAUUGGAAGUCUAAAUUUAUUGCUUUUAAAACUUUUUUUAAAAGAGGAAAUCCUCUUGAAAAUCUCAAAACAGUACUCCAAAGCAAGUUAUUUUUCAAAUGAACUAGUAUAAAAAAAUUGAAUGGACAUCCAUUCAUUUCAAGUAAAUAUGCUAUAUUUUUUUUACGUUUUUGGGUGGAAGUCCUAUUCGAGAAUUCCACCCUUUAAUUACGCGGACUUCCACCCUUUUUUUGGAGCACCUUGAUUGAAACUUCGGCAAUGAGCAAGACUUUAGACUUUAGACAAUCACUCACAAAAAAUGAUAUAUUUUUCAAAUUUUUGUCAAAAAAUGAGACUAUACUUCUCAAUGUUUUGGCAAUUUUUGACAUUUUUAGUUGUAACAGCGAAUUUAUGCAACAAUUUGGUAAAACGAUAAUAAUUUUUGUCAUUUUUAAACAAAAAGCACAAAAUUGCUGGCAAAAAUGUAAUGCUUUUUAGCAAUUUUUGUCGAAAAAGUGAUAUUUUUUGCAACUUUUUGGUAAAAAAAGAUAAUUAUGUAGGUAUAUUUUUUUAAAGAUAAUGUUGUCAAAAUGCCAGAUGAGGCGAGGUUUUUUUUGACAAUUUUUGGCAGCAAAGCUAGACUUUUGGCCAAUUUUUGGGGGAAAAAAUGUAAUUUUAUACUUAAUAAUCGACAUUUAAAAAAAGUAAAGUACCUAAAUUAUUUAUUCUCUAUUUCAUUUAAAAGCUCUUUACGUAAAAUACGAGUACAUUCGUGCAACUGCGGAAGCAGUUUAUUCAAACUUAGUAACUUACCUACAUCAAUUAGCUGCCGAACUGAGAAAAAAUCAGCAAAAAAAAAUCAAGAAUUAUUUAUUGAAUUUAUGAAUAACACAAGGAUCAUAUGAUUCAUAAAUCUUACCUAACGAUCUCUUAUAAUCUUGCAUUUGAAUCUAUUUGCAGUCCACGGUGGAAUUGCCUAUACUUACCUAAUACCUUAGUAAACUUUUUCACAAACUUUCUUCGUUUCAAUAAAAUUGAAAACACGAAAAUAUCGAUAAAUGAAUGAUUCGGUAAAGCGAGAAUGAAAUCGAGAAUUUAAUUUCCGUUUUAGACGUUUAGAUUUUUAGAAUAUUAUUCGUAAAUCGUACGGUCUACAUAGGUACUUAAUAAUUAUCGUAAAAUACCCAACGAAUCAAUAAUCAACACGAAGAUAAUGAUUAAAACUUGAAUUAGAUUCCACCUGGCAGAAUUGGAAUAUUUCCUAUAGUAGAUUUCUCAAAUUUGACACACCUCAUUAUAAAAACAAUAUCAACGUUGAAACAAGGAAUAUAUCAUUUUCUCAAACACAACUAUUUAGUUAAAUCAUCCUUCUUAUAAAUGCUGAGCUCCGGUGUGUAAUCAUCGUCGUGGUAAGGAAUAUCCGAAGCAUGAUGGCCUACUUGUUACAACUCUAUAUUAUGUGUACUUUGGUCGCGGUCGUCGAAGACUUCGCGAGUUUUUGUAUUAUGUUUUAGAAAUAGAGAUUUCAGUUUCAUUUAA
Molecule: long non-coding RNA, 2238 nt
Organism: Planococcus citri (citrus mealybug)
Lineage: Eukaryota; Metazoa; Arthropoda; Insecta; Hemiptera; Pseudococcidae
Exons: 2
Source: RefSeq, a predicted model, not a curated record